GCCGAAGACUAUCACAGGGUUCCAGAC
This 27-nucleotide non-coding RNA is filed under the name Homo sapiens (human). Lineage: Eukaryota; Metazoa; Chordata; Mammalia; Primates; Hominidae. The record is from RNAcentral.